AUGGUUCUGAUCCGCUAUGAUGUUCGGUUCCUCAUCGAGACUCCCCUUCCUCCCAAUGCCAAUCCCUCCCUUCUCGAGCUCGACGCCCAUGUCGUUCUCUAGAUCUACGCCACCCUCUCGGAUACCAUGGUCGAUCACGUGGUCGGCGCUGAUUCCACCUUCGCCCUUUGGAAGAAGAUCAAAGAUUUCUUCCUCGCCAACCGGGCUGCCCGGUUUAUGAUCCUCAACCGGCAGUAUUGUAACCUCAAACAAGGGGAUCUCUCUGCUUCUAAAUAUGCCUAUCGCAUGAAACUACUCACCGACGCCCUCGCUGACAUCGAACACGCCGUCACCGAGACUGACCUCACCACCCAAUUCCUUCAUGGUCUUGACAAGCACCUCGACACCAUUCGCGUCGUUCUUGGUGACCAAGGGCUCCCCUUCGACACGGUUCUUUCCCGGGUCAUCCUGGCAAAGGAAUCACAGGCGCAACACGCCACCGAGGAGAGUACCUCGGCGUUUGCCUUCCCCGGUGGUGACCGUGGCCAAGGCAGCUGCUCUGGGACGGGCGCUCGUGGCUCCAGUGACCGCGGCCAAAGCAGUGGAUCCUCCUCCGAUCGCGCCCAGGGCCCUCCUCAUCAGCACCAGCAACCCUCUAGAUGUGUUCGUGAAAGCACAAGUGCUCCCUGGGUGGUUUUGGUAAUUAAUGUCAACAUAUCUCUUGUUGGACUAACACUUUUACCUAGUAUGUUUCAGACAAGUUCAACAAUGGAGUGGCAUGGACUAAGGGAUGUGGAACCCCUUCAAGAUGCUAAGGACAAAGGAUUGGCUCAAGCUUCAAGCUCAAGACUCCACAUUUUAUAUUUUAGUGAUCCAAGAUCACAUUGA
Molecule: ribosomal RNA, 867 nt
Filed under: Triticum aestivum (bread wheat)
Lineage: Eukaryota; Viridiplantae; Streptophyta; Magnoliopsida; Poales; Poaceae
Description: partial small subunit ribosomal RNA
Source: RNAcentral